This 94-nucleotide small RNA is filed under the name Salmonella enterica. RNAcentral describes it as "partial RtT sRNA". It matches the Rfam family "RtT RNA", at positions 38 to 130 of the family's 130-position model. From Rfam's summary of the family: This family represents a bacterial cis-regulatory element known as RtT RNA. Lineage: Bacteria; Pseudomonadati; Pseudomonadota; Gammaproteobacteria; Enterobacterales; Enterobacteriaceae. The record is from RNAcentral.
AAGGUUCGAUUCGAGCGCAGCGAGAAAGCGUUGCCGCAGGCAACGACCCGAAGGGCGAAGCGCGUAGCGCUGAGUCAUCCUUCCCCCACCACCA